AGGUCCCUGUUGGAGAAGCAGGGCACGUGCAAAACUAAGAUCGUAGCACGCUCUGUACGUACCCACGUACGUACGUGCAUGCAUGGAUCCUUGUGCACGCGCUCCCCUUCUCCACCACGGCCUU
This 124-nucleotide microRNA precursor is filed under the name Hordeum vulgare. RNAcentral's name for it is "microRNA MIR164". It matches the Rfam family "MIR164 microRNA precursor family". The record is from RNAcentral. Lineage: Eukaryota; Viridiplantae; Streptophyta; Magnoliopsida; Poales; Poaceae.